UACGUAGGUGGCAAGCGUUGUCCGGAUUUACUGGGCGUAAAGAGCGCGCAGGCGGUCGUACAAGUCGCGUGUGAAAGCCCCCGGCUCAACUGGGGAGGGUCACGCGAUACUGUUCGACUCGAAGGCAGGAGAGGGAAGUGGAAUUCCCGGUGUAGUGGUGAAAUGCGUAGAUAUCGGGAGGAACACCUGCGGCGAAGGCGGGUUGCUGGGCUGACACUGACGCUGAUGCGCGAAAGCCAGGGGAGCGAACGGG
This 253-nucleotide ribosomal RNA is filed under the name uncultured bacterium. Its description in RNAcentral is "partial 16S ribosomal RNA". It matches the Rfam family "Bacterial small subunit ribosomal RNA", at positions 524 to 776 of the family's 1533-position model. The record is from RNAcentral.